GACGAACGCUGGCGGCGUGCUUAACACAUGCAAGUCGAACGGAAAGGCCUCUUUCGGGGGGUACUCGAGUGGCGAACGGGUGAGUAACACGUGGGUAACCUGCCCUUGACUUUGGGAUAACUUCAGGAAACUGGGGCUAAUACCGGAUAGGAGCUCCUGCUGCAUGGUGGGGGUUGGAAAGUUUCGGCGGUUGGGGAUGGACUCGCGGCUUAUCAGCUUGUUGGUGGGGUAGUGGCUUACCAAGGCUUUGACGGGUAGCCGGCCUGAGAGGGUGACCGGCCACAUUGGGACUGAGAUACGGCCCAGACUCCUACGGGAGGCAGCAGUGGGGAAUAUUUCACAAUGGGUGGAAGCCUGAUGCAGCAACGCCGUGUGCGGGAUGACGGCCUUCGGGUUGUAAACCGCUUUCGCUCAUGACGAAGCUUUGUGUGACGGUAGUGGGUAAAGAAGCACCGGCUAACUACGUG
Molecule: ribosomal RNA, 467 nt
Filed under: uncultured bacterium
Lineage: Bacteria
Description: partial 16S ribosomal RNA
Rfam family: Bacterial small subunit ribosomal RNA
Source: RNAcentral